Molecule: ribosomal RNA, 498 nt
Filed under: uncultured bacterium
Lineage: Bacteria
Description: partial 16S ribosomal RNA
Rfam family: Bacterial small subunit ribosomal RNA
Source: RNAcentral
GACGAACGCUGGCGGCGUGCCUAAUACAUGCAAGUCGAACGAGAGCAACCGGUGCUUGCACUGGUCAAUCUAGUGGCGAACGGGUGAGUAACACGUGGGUAACCUGCCCAUCAGAGGGGGAUAACAUCCGGAAACGGAUGCUAAAACCGCAUAGGUCUUCGAACCGCAUGGUUUGAAGAGGAAAAGAGGCGCAAGCUUCUGCUGAUGGAUGGACCCGCGGUGCAUUAGCUAGUUGGUGAGGUAACGGCUCACCAAGGCCGUGAUGCAUAGCCGACCUGAGAGGGUGAUCGGCCACAUUGGGACUGAGACACGGCCCAAACUCCUACGGGAGGCAGCAGUAGGGAAUCUUCCGCAAUGGACGCAAGUCUGACGGAGCAACGCCGCGUUAGUGAAGAAGGUUUUCGGAUCGUAAAACUCUGUUGUUAGAGAAGAACAAGUGCUAGAGUAACUGUUAGCGCCUUGACGGUAUCUAACCAGAAAGCCACGGCUAACUACGUG